CCUACGGGCGGCAGCAGUGGGGGAUAUUGCACAAUGGGGGAAACCCUGAUGCAGCGACGCCGCGUGGGUGAAGAAGCGCCUCGGCGCGUAAAGCCCUGUCAGCAGGGAAGAAAAUGACGUUACCUGAAGAAGAAGCACCGGCUAACUACGUGCCAGCAGCCGCGGUAAUACGUAGGGGGAAAGCGUUAUCCGGAUUUACUGGGGGGAAAGGGGGCGCAGACGGCGAUGCAAGCCAGGAGUGAAAGCCCGGGGCCCAACCAGGGGACUGCUCUUGGGACUGGGUGGCUAGAGUGCAGGAGGGGCAGGCGGAAUUCCAGGUGUAGCGGUGAAAUGCGUAGAGAUCAGGAGGAAGACCGGUGGCGAAGGCGGCCUGCUGGACGGAAACUGACGUUGAGGCGCGAAAGCGUGGGGAGCAAACAGGAUUAGAUACCCUGGUAGUC
RNAcentral lists this ribosomal RNA (440 nucleotides) under uncultured bacterium. RNAcentral's name for it is "partial 16S ribosomal RNA". It matches the Rfam family "Bacterial small subunit ribosomal RNA", at positions 338 to 795 of the family's 1533-position model. The record is from RNAcentral.